RNAcentral lists this ribosomal RNA (483 nucleotides) under uncultured bacterium. RNAcentral describes it as "bacterial SSU rRNA". It matches the Rfam family "Bacterial small subunit ribosomal RNA", at positions 8 to 507 of the family's 1533-position model. The record is from RNAcentral.
AGAGUUUGAUCCUGGCUCAGGAUGAACGCUGGCGGCGUGCUUAACACAUGCAAGUCGAACGGAAAGGCCAGUGCUUGCGCUGGUACUCGAGUGGCGAACGGGUGAGUAACACGUGGGUGAUCUGCCCUGCACUUCGGGAUAAGCUUGGGAAACUGGGUCUAAUACCGGAUAGGACCAUUGGUUGGUGCCUUUGGUGGAAAAGUUUUUUCGGUGUGGGAUGAGCUCGCGGCCUAUCAGCUUGUUGGUGGGGUAAUGGCCUACCAAGGCGUCGACGGGUAGCCGGCCUGAGAGGGUGUACGGCCACAUUGGGACUGAGAUACGGCCCAGACUCCUACGGGAGGCAGCAGUGGGGAAUAUUGCACAAUGGGCGCAAGCCUGAUGCAGCGACGCCGCGUGGGGGAUGACGGCCUUCGGGUUGCAAACUCCUUUCGCCAAAGACGAAUGUGGACGGUAUUUGGAGAAGAAGCACCGGCUAACUACGUG